AAAUAUAUUUUAUCUGGCCAAAAUAUAUUUUAAAUAUAUGGUAAAUAUAUGUUACAAACAGUGAAGUUCAAUGAAAUAUAUUUUUGAAACUGAAAAUAUAUUUUGUUUCAACCUUCAUAUACUUAAAAUAUAUUUAAACAUGUAUUUCAGGGGCAGGAAAAAUAUAUUUAUAUAUAAAAAAUAUAUUUCAGGGCGCAAGAAAAUACAUUUCCAAUCUUACAGUCGACAAUGCAAAUGUGCGUGGAAGAAAGCCUUGCGAACAAAACUAUCCAUUAUGUUUGAAGAAUUUUAAACACUUACAGAAAAACAUGAAUUUCCACAUAUUUUCCACAUUGACACUUUGUUCACAUAUCUUCCCAAAAAAUACAGAUCUGUGUAAUAGUGAUCAUGGCACCUCACAAAUGUGUGUUUUAGUCUAUUACUUAUUAAUUAAUUCAUUUAUUUAUUUAUUUAUUUAAUUGUAAUUUAUUGUCAGUGUAAUAUAGCGUUUAGAUCUGCGUCAAAUACAAAUAAAUAGAUUAAUAAAAUCGCUAGAUGUACGAUGUUAACUGUGACGUAAUUUGAAUGGGAAACCACUAGCAGCGCUCACGGACUUUUGGAGUACUGCGCGUGCGCGUCAUUUUGAACCGUAACGGUCGUCAGUCAACCGGGAGUUCUCGGAGUAAAAGCUGUAGAGUGUUUGGGAGACCGUGCUGCCUGCUGUUGUCGAUCUAUGAUGCUCCUGUCACUGAUAGUGGAGCCUGUAAUUUGAGCCAGUGAUUCAGUAAGUUGCUUGUAACAGAAGAUGCUUAUUUGUCACGACUUACAGGUUUACAUGUGUCAUUCAUUACUGUAAAAAAAUAUACUUUUUAUUUUCAGUAGCAGAAGCAGAGACGGUUUGUGCAACAGCAACCAGGUGCGGGUCAAAACCCAUCUGUCAAGACGCUUGUCCACUUGCUGUCCGCCCCACCAGCCCAACGAUUGUGCUGGAGAACCACAAGUCACAGAAAAAGAGAAUGUCAUAAUCAACUGGAACAGCAUGAGGUGGUAGAGACAGAGAAGAAGUGCCCUUGAUGAGGAAACCAUGGCAGCCAUAUAUACGUCAAGAAGAGAUUUCCAAAUGUGUCCAAAGAGGCUUUGAGGAUUUGACGUGGGGAAACUGAGACUUCUUGAAAGCAAAAAAGUUAUAUUUGUUUGAAUAUUGUAAUUUUUUGAACAUUGUAAAGUAUGUUCCUUGCUGAUUAUUAUUCAAAUGUUCAUGUGUUAUAGACAACAAAUAAAAGUUUUUCAAAUGUGA
Long non-coding RNA from Megalobrama amblycephala (Wuchang bream), 1276 nucleotides. RefSeq lists it as uncharacterized. Lineage: Eukaryota; Metazoa; Chordata; Actinopteri; Cypriniformes; Xenocyprididae. The transcript is spliced from 7 exons. The record is from RefSeq and is a predicted model, not a curated record.